CACACAAAUAGCUCUGUUGCUUUCUCACAGGUGCUUAAGCUUUGGCAAAACAAGUACCUUAAUCACCAGUUUCCUCCUUCUAAUUAAUGAGAUAGUCUAAUUCAGCUGCAAUUUCAAACUCACUUUCAGUGCAGAGUACUGCAGAAGUAUGUGAACUCCCUAAUGAGCUUUGUGGAACAAGAAAAGGCUAUAAAGGAUGAAGAGCCUCACAGAAAACUAUGCUAACGCUGAAAGUACUAAGGCCUAGGAAGAGGAUCAGCAGUUGGAUCUGCAUAGCAGUUCUCUUAUGGAGUAUGGACAUCACCCACGUUCUGAGCCAGCACCUGCUUCUAGAGAACCAAGUGCAAAGUCUGGGAAUCAACAUUAAUUAUGGAUUAUUGGUAAUGGAAUUUCUUCUGCUAAAGGAUUAUCAAAAUCAGCAAGCAGCAAAAUUAGUUCGUGUUUCUGUUCUGGACGCUAGAUGGCAAACUGAUAGUGUGAUAGACAUCAGGCUUGUUAUCAUGGAAAUCUCUGAUUAGGUAUGCUGUACAAAAUGCAAGUUAUCUGUAUGCAAAUGAGCAGUAGCUUGAUGUGGUGCAUGCUGAUAGCAAACAGAAUACUUCAAUCUUUAUGUUUCUAACUAAUCUGUGACUUUCCAAGAUUGGACAAUGCGGCUUUUGUUGGAAUCGCAGAGGUCUCUACAGCAAAUGCUUCAGGUGGACUUCCUUUCUCUUUCUGGCCCUUCCAUGGCUGAGCAGGGAGGUGUGUCAGACAGCCCCAUGGUGGGCUUCACCUGGAAACCAGGGGCGAUUCAACCAAGGUUAACUCAAGGUCCUUGAAGAGGGACUGUGACACAGUACAGAGCUGUGAGGAUACACCCAAAGGAGCACAGAUAAACUCCCAUGCGUCCAUUUUGUAAGGGCCUCAUCAUUAACACAAGAUAUCUGAGGGAUUUGAACAGCCAACACAACACUGGCUCAGAAUAAAUCUUUAUCCUUCAGAUAUCAUCAUGCAUGUACAAACCUUUAUUUCCAAUAUAACAGCCCGGGGAACAGUGAAACCAUGGGGAAGCUGCAAGGUUAAAGCUGUUAUUCAACAUAUCACUGCCUCUCUACCAUACACCAGCAAUUACUUACAACACAAGCUGCUGGAGAGUCACUCAAGCUGGCAAAAAAUUCUUCUGCAGUAGCUCCUGGAUGAUGUCUUCCCUGUCUCUCUGGUCAGAACCAUGGCAGCUAUGGGGAGAAGCAGAGCAGAUUUCACAGGCUGCUGAUGCUACAGCUGCUGCUGCUGAAAUUGCUUCCUCGGGAGAUCUGCAGAGUCAGAGCACUUGGGAAGAGCCUGCUGGAGAGAAACAAAAGGCACCAAAAUGCCUUCCAACAACUCCGUAUCAUUGCUCCCAUCGCUAAAAUUAUGCCUGCUCAGGGUGCAGUUGCUAACAGCUGGUUUUCCAGCUCAGAACAUCUCUAAGUUACAGAUUAGGCACUGGAAAUACAGAAUGCUCCAUAAACAUGCUAAAACAUAUGGAGUAUUGGGAAGAGAAAUCGUACUCGCUCAAGACAAAAUCCACCUACAUAACAGAAGUAGGUGCUUGGAGAGAAGCAAUUUACUUGACUUGCUUGUAAAUAUUUAGUGCUUUGCAGUUGGUUUCUGUCAGCAGAUAACGUUGGAAGCAGGUAUUUCCUCGGACAUAAGUGACAAUUUGCAGACUAUGGAUAAAAUUGAACAGAUCAUGACACAGCUCCUAGCCUGUUUUUUCCAUAACCACUGGGCCCAAAUGUCUUCUGAGCGCUCUCAGGGCUACAGCUAUGAACAAACCCAUUCGGAUUCUCUGCCUAAUGCUGAUUUACAGAAACAGCAGUUAAUCCUCAACUCUUAUUUUAGUUAUAAAAUCUCACAGUAACUUCAGUGACAAAAUAUCCCAGCAUCUCUCCAGACCUUUACAUAGCGCAGUUCCUAGGGCCUAAUUUUCAUUACUUUAGCUGUCACUGAACUCUUAAUCAAGUCCUCCCUUUACAGAAGAGGGUUUUAGCAGAGCUCCUGUUUGUCUUUGGUAAAAGACAUCUACAUCCAGAAUUUAGGAAGUGUCCUAUGAAUUUCUUUGUAUUGACAAGAAUUUGAAAUACUCCGUUUUUUGUUGGUGGUGUUAUUAUUAUUAGACUUGGAAAUUGUUAUUUCUGUUUCCUUUUCAUUCACAUCCAGAGGAUCAAGGCAGAACAAAUAGAAAUGUACACAAGUUUGGGGAUAUGCACUUUUUUUUAAGUAUACUGCAGUGUUUGGGCUGCAAGAGAAUUAUUCAGAAGCAAGCCAUAAUACUUGCAAUGCAUUUUUUUAUGCUUAGCCCAUGUAUUUAAGUAUUAGUUUAUCAAGACUAGCUGUUACACCGCAGAAUAAAUGUCUUUUUAUGAACUAGAUCUUCUAAUGUGUUUAGUAAGUAUCUAAAGAGUUGAACUAGAUAGGUGCUGGGGGCUGCAGGCUGUCAAAGGCAACUUCCACAGCCUACUUCACCUAAGCCAGAGCUCUGGAAAGCUGAGGGAUGGGGGUAACUAGGGCUAUGGUUAGAGGCUGGGGAGACUGUGCCAUGGUCCGUGUUCUCCUCCAGUCAGCAGAUGCAGUGGCUGCUACUAUCUUUUCUCUCUAAAUUUUGGCUCCAUCCUCAGCCCUGCUUUAUUCCUGUC
Gallus gallus (chicken) is the source of this 2657-nucleotide long non-coding RNA. Lineage: Eukaryota; Metazoa; Chordata; Aves; Galliformes; Phasianidae. The record is from Ensembl.